UGUUCCAUGGUGUAAUUGGCAACACGUCUGAUUUUGGUUCAGAAGAGUUCUGGUUCGACCCCAGAUGGAACAACUA
Molecule: transfer RNA, 76 nt
Filed under: Thermoflexibacter ruber
Lineage: Bacteria; Pseudomonadati; Bacteroidota; Cytophagia; Cytophagales; Thermoflexibacteraceae
Description: tRNA_Gln_TTG
Rfam family: tRNA
About the family: Transfer RNA (tRNA) molecules are approximately 80 nucleotides in length.
Source: RNAcentral